RNAcentral lists this transfer RNA (42 nucleotides) under Asterohyptis seemannii. RNAcentral's name for it is "partial tRNA-Gly". RNAcentral also lists the same sequence under 1 other name. Lineage: Eukaryota; Viridiplantae; Streptophyta; Magnoliopsida; Lamiales; Lamiaceae. The record is from RNAcentral.
GCGGAUAUGGUCGAAUGGUAAAAUUUCUCUUUGCCAAGGAGA